GACGAACGCUGGCGGCGUGCUUAACACAUGCAAGUCGAGCGGUAAGGCCCUUUCGGGGGUACGACGAGCGGCGAACGGGUGAGUAACACGUGGGUGACCUGCCCUCAGCUCUGGGAUAAGCCUGGGAAACUGGGUCUAAUACUGGAUAUGACUCCACGGUGCAUGUCGUGGGGUGGAAAGCCUUGUGCGGCUGAGGAUGGGCCCGCGGCCUAUCAGCUUGUUGGUGGGGUGAGGCCUACCAAGGCGACGACGGGUAGCCGGCCUGAGAGGGCGACCGGCCACACUGGGACUGAGACACGGCCCAGACUCCUACGGGAGGCAGCAGUGGGGAAUCUUGCGCAAUGGGCGAAAGCCUGACGCAGCGACGCCGCGUGAGGGAUGACGGCCUCGGUGUAAC
RNAcentral lists this ribosomal RNA (397 nucleotides) under uncultured bacterium. RNAcentral describes it as "bacterial SSU rRNA". It matches the Rfam family "Bacterial small subunit ribosomal RNA", at positions 28 to 429 of the family's 1533-position model. The record is from RNAcentral.